This 69-nucleotide transfer RNA is filed under the name Marmota marmota marmota (Alpine marmot). It matches the Rfam family "tRNA". Rfam says of the family: Transfer RNA (tRNA) molecules are approximately 80 nucleotides in length. Lineage: Eukaryota; Metazoa; Chordata; Mammalia; Rodentia; Sciuridae. RNAcentral also lists the same sequence under 1 other name. The record is from Rfam by way of RNAcentral.
GGGGCUGUAGCUCAGUGGUAGAGCACUUGCCUUGCAUGCAGGAGGCACUAGGUUCGAUCCUCAGCACCA